GUGAGUGGCUUGGACUGGAGGAAGUCCAUAGAGUAUGGAGAGGGUACUGGAGGCUGAGGUAGAAUGAGGUAAAUGGGAAUUGGAUAAGAUGCACUGGCUGCAUUUGGUGACAUUUCUGCCUGAGUAGGUAUUCGAAUAUGCACUGCCACUUCGUGGUCCCCCUGAGACAGCUGGAGAACUGAAUUGACUUUCACUGCUCUGUAAUCAGAUUGUUUGUAGUAGUUUAAUUUACUCGUCAGGUGACAAUAAUUAUUGAAAAUAUUCCUAAAAUGAAUUUUCUGCCAUUAUUAUGAAUAGUGAAGAAAAUCGAAGCCUUUUUGGGAGAUCAACAAAAUGCUGACUUGGUUUCUAUGUAUGCCUCAUGGGUCAUAGCACCCAGCCACUAGCCAGUGCUUGCACCCUCUGCUGGCCCCAGGACUAGGAGGUCAGGGUAGCCUCUCUGAUGAGCCUCUGACCUCCAGCCUCAGUAGUGGCAGCACCCCUUCUCCAUGGACUUCCACACCAAGGUCCAGAAGCAGGUGUCAGAGAGAGAGAGAGAGAGACCGAGCUCCUCCUCACAGGGGGUUGCCGAGGGCCCCCUGGGCUCUGCCUAGAAUGCUCUUGGAGAAGUGCGGAUGGAGAAGCAGAUUAGAGGCUCCAGUGGUUGGUUCCAGUGAAACUAAUCAGAGUGCUAGAGUGCUAGAGACAGGAGAAGACAUUUAGGUUAAUUUUAUCUCUUUCCACCUACAAAAACUAAGGCCCAAUUUUUAAAUGAAAUUGUUUUUCUUCCUUUUAUGUGUCUCUAAUUGUACCUGACUUUUGCUGACACUCCCGACGUUUAACCACAUAUUCACAAAACUUCAUUCAUGUUUUUCAUGAGGGAUGCAAUUCUCACCUGCUCUGACAGGUGAAUGCACCAUCCAGAUGUCCCUAUAUACAUCACAUGAAGGAGGUAACAGAUGAGUCAUCCACACACUAACACAGAUGAGUUUAUCAAAUGCAGCCAUUAGGGAUGGGCCCAUGUUACCAAAGGACAGAGUGGGGGAAGGUGCUCAUUCCAAGAGGCUGCUGCAAGAGUUCAGUCAACCCAGGACACCUAGAGCCAUCUGGGCCUGAAGCCAGGGGCUGGCAAGUGACAGAAUGGACCACAGAGUCUUUUUCUCCUUCCACAUUUUCAAUAGACCAUAUACUGUCAUAGUAUUUUGUGAAACAUUUAAAAAUCUAAAGUACAACAUACAUACAGAAAACACAUGAAACCUAAAUACACAGCUCUGUAACUUAUCACAAAGUGAGAACCCAUGUAACUACAAGUCAGGUCAAAAACUAGAAGUUACCUGCACCCCAAAACUGUCCUUGUAUCUCCUCCUUUCCAAAGCUAGCCACUACAACCUUGUGUGCCAGAGUUCGCUCUCUUUUAGUUUGUGCUUAUUAUAAAUAGAGUAACUCAGGAUGUGUGUUCCUGAUGGAUGUGUGGCGGCUGAUGACAGAACUACAAGGAGAGCAGUGCCAUGCACUAAACCCUGAUCUUGUUCUGGGCAUUGGGCUAAAGCUUUCCGUGGCUCAUUCCAUUUAGUGGCUGGAAGUUGCAGAGGUUUCAGAAGCUCAUCCAAGAUUCUGGAGCCUCCAUCUCCAGCCCUAAUGCUGUCCGCCUUUUCACCCAGCCACCACCUGUUUCAGGAGAACACACAGAAGUGAUGACCUUUUCUGGACAGGAUACCCUCUGAGGUCAAAUCAUUGGGCUUGUGGCCAUGAGACCACAGACUUUGCCUGGCUUCCAGUGACUGUCCGAGAUGACCUGUGGAGUGCACCGCCUGUACUUGGACAUCACUGUCUUUUCGGAUCCAUACCCGUCAUCCUUGGAAUUUCCCCUGCAUCCAAACCUGUUCCUGAUACAGGUAUAACCCUAAGGAAUAUCUUGGAUGUCUUCACGGGGCUUAUGACUUAUUCUGAGGUUUACAAAAUAGAGGCCCCCAGCUGAGCAAAGAGAGGGCUGCAGCGCCGAGGGAACAGCUGCCGGACUCACCGGAGAGGCCUCCUGGAGCACGCCGGGACCCCCUCCACCCCCUGGCUUUGGCUGCAUCAAUGGCUAGUUUGCCUGAACUAUAUCUGAGCCACUGAGAGUAUUUAUUAAGCAGAGAAUAAUUUUGAGUUUCACUUUUAUAACUUUUGUUUCAAAAGUUGUUUUGGAUAAUUUAAUGAAAUGACUGUAAACCAGAAUUCCCCUUUUCAUUAUUUCUUUGUGUCAAUAUAAAAAGAGUUGAUGAUUUUAAAAGCCAGUGAGAUGUCCCUGUCUGUGGAUGUCAGCGGGAGGGUGGGGUCUGACGCCUUUCUCUGGUGGCUGUCCAGGAAGAUUGCCCCAGCUUGCACUCCCUUUUGGCGGGUUCCAGAGCCUUCCAUUUGAAAGGAGCAUCUCUCACCACUCUGCCCCACCCAGCACCAGCUCUUCUGGAACCCACUGACUUCCUAAACACUUUCUUCCUCCUUCACCUCAUUGAAUUCAAGACUUUAGAAAACAGCCAAAAACUCUAGAGGUGGGGGUGGGUUCGAUCUGGAAAUCCCUGCUGUAAUCUUUUUAAGGGAAUCCACUGGAAAUUAUUAAUUUAUGUUUUAAAUAAAACCAUUCCUUACUUAACAGAAUAUUAAGCCACUCAUUUUUUUAACAGAACUUUCGAGAUAUAAUUAAAAUGCCAUAAAUUUCACCCCCACACAGUGUACAAUUCCAAGGUUUCCAAUAUAGUCACAGAAGUCUCUGCAACAAUUACCACAAUUUUAGACAUGAAGACCAUUUGUUGGCAGCCCUACCUGCCUCUAUGUGUAUGUAUAUAAUUUUAAUAUUGGAUUGGAUACUAUAGUAAUAUUGUACUGUUACCUAUUUGUGUUUUUAUAUUGCUGUUUUAUUUUAUUCAGAUGAAUAAUAAUUAUCUCCAUAUAGUCAUACAUUUAUAUAGGGUUAAACACACCUUUUUACAAUUCAAUAAAUUAAAUUGGUCAGGUAUGGUGGCUCACGCCUGUAAUCCCAGCACUUUGGGAGGCCAAGGCGGGUGGAUCACCUGAGGUUGGGAGUUUGAGACCAGCGUGAUCAACAUGGAGAAACCCUGUCUGUACUAAAAAUACAAAAAAUUAGCCAGGCAUGGUGGCACAUGCCUGUAAUCCCAGCUACUUGGGAGGCUGAGGCAGGAGAAUCACUCGAACCAAGGAGGCGGACAUUGCGGUGAGCCAGGAUCGCACCAUUGCACUCCAGCCUGGGCAACAAGAGCAAAACUCCAUCUCAAGAAGAAAAAAAAAAAAAAAGUAAAUUGUUUUUAAUUACAUAAGAAACACGUGUUAUUGUUAUAGAAAUUCACAUAGUGCUUCGGUCUAUAGAAUAAAUGUAUCCCCACCACCUCCCAGCCCACCCACUCGUCUGCAUUCACCUACACACAGUUAAACAUGCACAUAUGUUUCCGUGACACGAUCUUGCUUUGCAUAUUGUUCACUGACUGGCUUUUCCAUAUAAGAUUUAAUUUGGUGAUUAUUGCUUAUCAGUACCUAUAGGUCUCUCUCAUUAUUAUUUAUAAUUACAUCAUUAUUCCAUAGGGUAUUUUACCACAAUUUGGUCACUUUUUCACUGAGGAAUUUUUAUGUCAGUUUCAGUUAUUUGUUAUUGUUACCAAUGCUGUACUGGGCAUCCCUGUAUAUCCACCUUUUUGUUGCAUUAGUUAAGUGGUUUUUUCCUUUUAUGAUUGAUUUCUAAAAAUAAAAUACUGCAGCAAAUGUUAAUGUUUAAUAUUUUCAUAAAAUUAAAAAUCUGUGUUCCAAAAAGAAAUCAAUGGUUUAUACUUCUACCAUCAAUGUAUGAGAAUUCCUAUUUCCCCACACCCUUAAUUACAUAGGAAAUUAUCAAUGUUUGCCAAUUUUAUGAUUUUAAAAUAUUUUUACUUUUAAUUUGGAUUUCUCCACUUAUUAGGGAGAUUGUGCAUAUUUGUGUAUGUGUGUUGGCCGUUUGUAUUUCUCCCUGUGAUUUUCAUAAUGAUACGUUUUCCUAGUUUUCUAAUUCAUUUAGUGAUAUUCUUUAUAUGUUCUGCACAUUUAUUAUUUCCAUAUAAUUACUGAGUUUUUUUUAAGGUCUGUGUCAUAACUUUUACUUUGUUUAUAUUGUUUUUGUUUUGAAGAAGGUUUUCUUUUUACAUAGUCAAAUUUUCAAUAUUUUCCUUACCAUUUCUGGAUUUUGUGACAGGCUUUCAAUAGUUGGUCCUUCUAGGGCUUUAUUGAUUUGUUUUGUUUUAAAGAACAUGCUCAAAUCCUACAUUAUAUAGUGAUUUACUUGUUCCCUUUAUAACACGUGGUAGACAUUACUAGUUCCAAUUAAUGUAGAUUAAAUGUAUUCUUUUCAGUUGUGUAGUAAUUCAUAGAUACGUUCUGAUUUCUUUAUUCUCUGUUAGAUGGAUAUUAAGCUUAUUUUUUAAAAUUCCCACCACUAAUGACUUUCCAGUAAUCAUCAAUAUACAUAGAUCCCCCCAAUGUUUUUGUUUUUUUGUUUUUAUGUAGUAUACGAAUCUCAAAAUGGUAUAAUUGAGCUACGAUAAAUUUAAUUAUAAUUUAAAAAAUACUGACAUUAUUUUUCACAGAGUUAAUCAGAUCACACUCUUACCAAUUACAUAAGUAGGCCUCUUCCUAUGUAGGCUCAAUAG
RNAcentral lists this long non-coding RNA (4649 nucleotides) under Homo sapiens (human). Its description in RNAcentral is "HSALNT0247979". Lineage: Eukaryota; Metazoa; Chordata; Mammalia; Primates; Hominidae. The record is from RNAcentral.